AUGAACGCUGGCGGCGUGCCUAAUACAUGCAAGUCGAGCGAACAGACGAGGAGCUUGCUCCUCUGACGUUAGCGGCGGACGGGUGAGUAACACGUGGAUAACCUACCUAUAAGACUGGGAUAACUUCGGGAAACCGGAGCUAAUACCGGAUAAUAUCUUGAACCGCAUGGUUCAAUAGUGAAAGACGGUUUUGCUCUCACAUAUAGAUGGAUCCGCGCCGCAUUAGCUAGUUGGUAAGGUAACGGCUUACCAAGGCAACGAUGCGUAGCCGACCUGAGAGGGUGAUCGGCCACACUGGAACUGAGACACGGUCCAGACUCCUACGGGAGGCAGCAGUAGGGAAUCUUCCGCAAUGGGCGAAAGCCUGACGGAGCAACGCCGCGUGAGUGAUGAAGGUCUUCGGAUCGUAAAACUCUGUUAUUAGGGAAGAACAAAUGUGUAAGUAACUAUGCACGUCUUGACGGUACCUAAUCAGAAAGCCACGGCUAACUACGUG
Molecule: ribosomal RNA, 496 nt
Filed under: uncultured bacterium
Lineage: Bacteria
Description: partial 16S ribosomal RNA
Rfam family: Bacterial small subunit ribosomal RNA
Source: RNAcentral